Molecule: ribosomal RNA, 406 nt
Filed under: uncultured bacterium
Lineage: Bacteria
Description: partial 16S ribosomal RNA
Rfam family: Bacterial small subunit ribosomal RNA
Source: RNAcentral
AUCGAACGCUGGCGGCAGGCCUAACACAUGCAAGUCGAACGAGUGGCGGACGGGUGAGUAAUGUUUGGGAAACUGUCCGUUGGCGGGGGAUCACUACUGGAAACGGUUGCUAAUACCGCAUUCCAUCGGAUGUGCCCUGGUGGGAUUAGCUAGUAGGUGGGGUAACGGCUCACCUAGGCGACGAUCCAUAGCUGGUCUGAGAGGAUGACCGGCCACACUGGAACUGAGACACGGUCAAGACGCCUACGGGAGGCAGCAGUCGGGAAUAUUGCGCAAUGGGCGCAAGCCUGACACAGCCAUGCCGCGUGUAUGAAGAAGGCGUUCGGGUUGUAAAGUACUUUUGUCGGGGAGGCGGUACCUGCAGAAGAAGCACCGGCUAACUACGUGCCAGCAGCCGCGGUAAUUC